This is a non-coding RNA of Lolium perenne, 1724 nucleotides long. The record is from RefSeq and is a predicted model, not a curated record. Lineage: Eukaryota; Viridiplantae; Streptophyta; Magnoliopsida; Poales; Poaceae.
GCGCAACAGCUCUGCAGCUUGGUUUGUGGCAUCUAAGAUCUCAGAGUGGAAGGCGCAUCUUAGGUUGUAUGGCGCCUGCAGAAUGCAAUGACUAGUUUUAUAUGCAAAUUAAGGAUUAGGAGGCCUGGACAUUUGAGCGACUGAAAACAUGUAGAGAUAAGAUUCUGCAAAGCUUGUGAUCCCAUGCUGCAUGGUAUCAGAUUCCACAUGGCCUGCCCGCGUAUGGAACGAUGUUGGAAUUAGAGGUUGCAUGGAGUGGUGCUGUUAGUGAUCCUAACAUAUGGAUUAAUGAUGGAUCACGAAAUCUUCGUUGGGCCAACUGUCUAUAGACACGUCAGAUAAAGAUUUACACAGAAGGGCGGGCCUGGUGCAGCGGUAGAGCCUCACCGCCUGUGACCGAGAGGUCCCAGGUUCGAGUCGCGGUCUCCUCACAUUGCACUUCGUGAGGGUAAGGCUUGCCACUAACACCUUCCCCAGACCCCGCACAGUGCGGGAGCUCUCAGCACUGGGUACGUCCCUUUACAGAUUUACACAAUGAUAUAUAUACCUAUAAUUUAUGGAUGACAUUGUCUUCUUCUGAUCUGCAAGGUGAUACUUUUACUACCAUUACAAUAACUCUACAUUAGUGUAAAUACGGUAUGAAAUGAUUUUCGAUGAUUCUCCAAUGUGUAUACUUAUACAUAAUUGUCUGCUCAAAAUCGUAAAUAUUUGACCAGAGGAGUUUAAACCUCAAGAUAGAAUAACAGAGGGUGUACAUGAUGUUGCAUCUUCACAGAGACAUUUACACAAUAUCCAAGUUUUAUUUUGGUCAUCAGAUGGUCCUUACUAAAAUGCAAGAAAGUCUGGAGGUGUAUAAUGCAGUAUCAUGUUUUCCUAGUUGGAUGGAAAGCGUGGACAAUAGCAAGUGAAUAACAUCAGGCGUUUGCUGAGGAACUUUAACUAGGAUACACGAGGCCGCUCAGCCACAAGGAAAAAGAAGUUAGAUCCUGAUUAUGGUUGCUGAGUUCAGCAGCUGGCUGUGCUGGAAGAAUUAGGCAUCUCACAAUGGGAAAUCUUGGCAUAUUCACAACUUGUUCAUGAGCAAUUCUUCUUAGAUAUAUGUGUAUAAGGUUACAGAAAGCAUAUGGGUCAACUUGUGGAGUCGAUGGCAGCUGGAAGGUUCCUCAGAAAUUGCUUGUCCUACUUCUCACUGUAAAUUAUUGGAAGACCGUAUUAUUAUUAAGAGUGAAAGCAUUAUUCCUCCAGCAUCGACAUUAGGAGCAUGUGCUCUGCUAUGGAGAAACAAAGAACAAGCGGGGUAUGAGAAACGUGAAGGCUUUGUGAGGACCCACUUUAUCUUGUCCUGUGGCAUGCAAGAGGGAGUGGACACAACCGAAGUUCCAUAUGAAAAUAUACGUGGUUCCUGUUCAGGUAGGAUUAUUCAGUGUGACUAUUUUUGCUUAUCUUGUUAAGUUUGAGCAUUUUGGGCCAGCAAUGUGUGGCUUAUCGUUUGUCAAGCCGAGUAAGCUUCUACAAAAUGCAAAAUGUUCCCAUUUCCAAAUCAAGCAGAAUUUUGUGGACCGCUUGCUUGAUGCUAGACAUCUGAAAUCAUUUGUUCGCAACUGCAUAUAGUGGCCUAUGGUCGUGGGCCUGGUCACGAAGAAUAUGAAACUUAGUAGGUUUUCUUCAGAUUAUCACCGUUGGUGUCAAAAAGUAUGUAACAUACUGAGACAUUGACGUGGAAC